This 795-nucleotide ribosomal RNA is filed under the name uncultured cyanobacterium. Its description in RNAcentral is "bacterial SSU rRNA". It matches the Rfam family "Bacterial small subunit ribosomal RNA", at positions 33 to 874 of the family's 1533-position model. The record is from RNAcentral. Lineage: Bacteria; Bacillati; Cyanobacteriota.
ACGCUGGCGGCGUGCUUAACACAUGCAAGUCGAACGAACCUUCGGGUUAGUGGCGGACGGGUGAGUAACGCGUGGGAAUCUGCCCUCAGGAGGGGGAUAACGGUUGGAAACGACCGCUAAUACCCCAUAUGCCGAGAGGUGAAAUGAAUUUCGCCUGAGGAUGAGCCCGCGUCUGAUUAGCUUGUUGGUGAGGUAAUGGCUCACCAAGGCAUCGAUCAGUAGCUGGUCUGAGAGGAUGAUCAGCCACACUGGGACUGAGACACGGCCCAGACUCCUACGGGAGGCAGCAGUGGGGAAUUUUCCGCAAUGGGCGAAAGCCUGACGGAGCAACGCCGCGUGAGGGACGAAGGCCUCUGGGCUGUAAACCUCUUUUCUCAAGGAAGAAGAUAUGACGGUACUUGAGGAAUAAGCCACGGCUAAUUCCGUGCCAGCAGCCGCGGUAAUACGGGAGUGGCAAGCGUUAUCCGGAAUUAUUGGGCGUAAAGCGUCCGCAGGCGGCCUUUCAAGUCUGCUGUUAAAACGUGGAGCUUAACUCCAUCAUGGCAGUGGAAACUGAUUGGCUUGAGUAUGGUAGGGGCAGAGGGAAUUCCCGGUGUAGCGGUGAAAUGCGUAGAUAUCGGGAAGAACACCAGUGGCGAAGGCGCUCUGCUGGGCCAUUACUGACGCUCAUGGACGAAAGCCAGGGGAGCGAAAGGGAUUAGAUACCCCUGUAGUCCUGGCCGUAAACGAUGAACACUAGGUGUCGGGGGAAUCGACCCCUUCGGUGUCGUAGCUAACGCGUUAAGUGUUCCGCCU